AUUGAACGCUGGCGGCAGGCCUAACACAUGCAAGUCGAGCGGAUGAGAGGAGCUUGCUUCUCGAUUCAGCGGCGGACGGGUGAGUAAUGCCUAGGAAUCUGCCUGGUAGUGGGGGACAACGUUUCGAAAGGAACGCUAAUACCGCAUACGUCCUACGGGAGAAAGCAGGGGACCUUCGGGCCUUGCGCUAUCAGAUGAGCCUAGGUCGGAUUAGCUAGUUGGUGAGGUAAUGGCUCACCAAGGCGACGAUCCGUAACUGGUCUGAGAGGAUGAUCAGUCCCACUGGAACUGAGACACGGUCCAGACUCCUACGGGAGGCAGCAGUGGGGAAUAUUGGACAAUGGGCGAAAGCCUGAUCCAGCCAUGCCGCGUGUGUGAAGAAGGUCUUCGGAUUGUAAAGCACUUUAAGUUGGGAGGAAGGGUUGUAGAUUAAUACUCUGCAAUUUUGACGUUACCGACAGAAUAAGCACCGGCUAACUCUGUGCCAGCAGCCGCCGUAA
Molecule: ribosomal RNA, 500 nt
Filed under: uncultured bacterium
Lineage: Bacteria
Description: partial 16S ribosomal RNA
Rfam family: Bacterial small subunit ribosomal RNA
Source: RNAcentral